UACGUAGGGUGCGAGCGUUGUCCGGAAUUAUUGGGCGUAAAGGGCUCGUAGGCGGCUCGUCGCGUCGGCUGUGAAAACCCGCGGCUUAACUGUGGGCUUGCAGCUGAUACGGGCGGGCUAGAGUUCGGUAGGGGAGACUGGAAUUCCUGGUGUAGCGGUGAAAUGCGCAGAUAUCAGGAGGAACACCGGUGGCGAAGGCGGGUCUCUGGGCAGUAACUGACGCUGAGAAGCGAAAGCGUGGGGAGCGAACAGG
Molecule: ribosomal RNA, 253 nt
Filed under: uncultured bacterium
Lineage: Bacteria
Description: partial 16S ribosomal RNA
Rfam family: Bacterial small subunit ribosomal RNA
Source: RNAcentral